Molecule: ribosomal RNA, 402 nt
Filed under: uncultured bacterium
Lineage: Bacteria
Description: bacterial SSU rRNA
Rfam family: Bacterial small subunit ribosomal RNA
Source: RNAcentral
UGGGGAAUAUUGGACAAUGGGCGAAAGCCUGAUCCAGCCAUGCCGCGUGAGUGAUGAAGGCCCUAGGGUUGUAAAGCUCUUUCACCGGUGAAGAUAAUGACGGUAGCCGGAGAAGAAGCCCCGGCUAACUUCGUGCCAGCAGCCGCGGUAAUACGAAGGGGGCUAGCGUUGUUCGGAAUUACUGGGCGUAAAGCGCACGUAGGCGGAUUGUUAAGUCGGGGGUGAAAUCCCGGGGCUCAACCCCGGAACUGCCUUCGAUACUGGCAAUCUAGAGUCCGGAAGAUGUGAGUGGAAUUCCGGGUGUACAGGUGAAAUUCGUAGAUAGUCGGAGGAACACCAGUGGCGAAGGCGGCUCACUGGUCCGGUACUGACGCUGAGGUGCGAAAGCGUGGGGAGCAAACA